Molecule: ribosomal RNA, 671 nt
Filed under: Thermococcus sp. Tc95-SC-S
Lineage: Archaea; Methanobacteriati; Methanobacteriota; Thermococci; Thermococcales; Thermococcaceae
Description: bacterial SSU rRNA
Rfam family: Archaeal small subunit ribosomal RNA
Source: RNAcentral
GUCCGACUAAGCCAUGCGAGUCAUGGGGUCCCUUCGGGGACACCGGCGGACGGCUCAGUAACACGUCGGUAACCUACCCUCGGGAGGGGGAUAACCCCGGGAAACUGGGGCUAAUCCCCCAUAGGCCUGGGGUACUGGAAGGUCCCCAGGCCGAAAGGGGCUUUUGCCCGCCCGAGGAUGGGCCGGCGGCCGAUUAGGUAGUUGGUGGGGUAACGGCCCACCAAGCCGAAGAUCGGUACGGGCCAUGAGAGUGGGAGCCCGGAGAUGGACACUGAGACACGGGUCCAGGCCCUACGGGGCGCAGCAGGCGCGAAACCUCCGCAAUGCGGGAAACCGCGACGGGGGGACCCCCAGUGCCGUGGCACAGCCACGGCUUUUCCGGAGUGUAAAAAGCUCCGGGAAUAAGGGCUGGGCAAGGCCGGUGGCAGCCGCCGCGGUAAUACCGGCGGCCCAAGUGGUGGCCGCUAUUAUUGGGCCUAAAGCGUCCGUAGCCGGGCCCGUAAGUCCCUGGCGAAAUCCCACGGCUCAACCGUGGGGCUUGCUGGGGAUACUGCGGGCCUUGGGACCGGGAGAGGCCGGGGGUACCCCUGGGGUAGGGGUGAAAUCCUAUAAUCCCAGGGGGACCGCCAGUGGCGAAGGCGCCCGGCUGGAACGGGUCCGACGGUGAGGAC